ACUACGGGUGGCAGCAGUGGGGAAUAUUGCACAAUGGGCGCAAGCCUGAUGCAGCCAUGCCGCGUGUGUGAAGAAGGCCUUCGGGUUGUAAAGCACUUUCAGCGGGGAGGAAGGCGUUAAGGUUAAUAACCUUGGCGAUUGACGUUACCCGCAGAAGAAGCACCGGCUAACUCCGUGCCAGCAGCCGCGGUAAUACGGAGGGUGCAAGCGUUAAUCGGAAUUACUGGGCGUAAAGCGCACGCAGGCGGUCUGGCAAGUCGGAUGUGAAAUCCCCGGGCUCAACCUGGGAACUGCAUUCGAAACUGGCAGGCUAGAGUCUUGUAGAGGGGGGUGGAAUUCCAGGUGUAGCGGUGAAAUGCGUAGAGAUCUGGAGGAAUACCGGUGGCGAAGGCGGCCCCCUGGACAAAGACUGACGCUCAGGUGCGAAAGCGUGGGGAGCAAACAGGAUUAGAUACCCGUGUAGUC
RNAcentral lists this ribosomal RNA (465 nucleotides) under uncultured Klebsiella sp. RNAcentral describes it as "bacterial SSU rRNA". It matches the Rfam family "Bacterial small subunit ribosomal RNA", at positions 338 to 795 of the family's 1533-position model. Lineage: Bacteria; Pseudomonadati; Pseudomonadota; Gammaproteobacteria; Enterobacterales; Enterobacteriaceae. The record is from RNAcentral.